UUUAUGCUUGCAUAAAUGAUUUUUGGAUUCGGAGCGAGUGGCGAACUGGUGAGUAACACGUGGGUAACCUGCCCCGAAGCGGGGGAUAACAUUUGGAAACAAGUGCUAAUACCGCAUAAUUAGUUGGAACCGCAUGGUUCCAACUUGAAAGAUGGCUCUGCUAUCACUUUGGGAUGGACCCGCGCCGUAUUAGUUAGUUGGUGAGAUAAAAGCCCACCAAGACGAUGAUACGUAGCCGACCUGAGAGGGUAAUCGGCCACAUUGGGACUGAGACACGGCCCAGACUCCUACGGGAGGCAGCAGUAGGGAAUCUUCCACAAUGGACGAAAGUCUGAUGGAGCAACGCCGCGUGAGUGAUGAAGGUUUUCGGAUCGUAAAACUCUGUUGUUAAAGAAGAACAAGUGUUAGAGUAACUGUUAACACUUUGACGGUAUUUAACCAGAAAGCCACGGCUAACUACGUGCCAGCAGCCGCGGUAAUACGUAGGUGGCAAGCGUUGUCCGGAUUUAUUGGGCGUAAAGCGAGCGCAGGCGGUUUUGUAAGUCUGCUGUGAAAGCCCUCAGCUCAACUGAGGAAGUGCAGUGGAAACUACAAAACUUGAGUACAGAAGAGGAAAGUGGAACUCCAUGUGUAGCGGUGAAAUGCGUAGAUAUAUGGAAGAACACCAGUGGCGAAGGCGGCUUUCUGGUCUGUUACUGACGCUGAGGCUCGAAAGCAUGGGUAGCGAACAGGAUUAGAUACCCUGGUAGUCCAUGCCGUAAACGAUGAAUACUAGGUGUUUGGAAGGGUUUCCGCCCUUCAGUGCCGCAGCUAACGCAUUAAGUAUUCCGCCUGGGGGAGUACGACCGCAAGGUUGAAACUCAAAGGAAUUGACGGGGGCCCGCACAAGUGGUGGAGCAUGUGGUUUAAUUCGAUGCUACGCGAAGAACCUUACCAGCUCUUGACAUCUUCUGCCAACCCAAGAGAUUGGGCGUUCCCUUCGGGGACAGAAUGACAGGUGGUGCAUGGUUGUCGUCAGCUCGUGUCGUGAGAUGUUGGGUUAAGUCCCGCAACGAGCGCAACCCUUAUUAUUAGUUGCCAGCAUUUAGUUGGGCACUCUAGUGAGACUGCCGGUGAUAAACCGGAGGAAGGUGGGGACGACGUCAAAUCAUCAUGCCCCUUAUGAGCUGGGCUACACACGUGCUACAAUGGAUGGUACAACGAGUCGCGAAACCGCGAGGUCAAGCUAAUCUCUUAAAGCCAUUCUCAGUUCGGAUUGCAGGCUGCAACUCGCCUGCAUGAAGUUGGAAUCACUAGUAAUCGUGGAUCAGCAUGCCACGGUGAAUACGUUCCCGGGCCUUGUACACACCGCCCGUCACACCAUGAGAGUUUGUAACACC
Molecule: ribosomal RNA, 1379 nt
Filed under: Apilactobacillus sp.
Lineage: Bacteria; Bacillati; Bacillota; Bacilli; Lactobacillales; Lactobacillaceae
Description: bacterial SSU rRNA
Rfam family: Bacterial small subunit ribosomal RNA
Source: RNAcentral